This 75-nucleotide transfer RNA is filed under the name Eubacteriales bacterium. Its description in RNAcentral is "tRNA-Glu". It matches the Rfam family "tRNA". From Rfam's summary of the family: Transfer RNA (tRNA) molecules are approximately 80 nucleotides in length. Their secondary structure includes four short double-helical elements and three loops (D, anti-codon, and T loops). Lineage: Bacteria; Bacillati; Bacillota; Clostridia; Eubacteriales. The record is from RNAcentral.
GCCACCAUGGUCAAGCGGUCAAGACGUCGCCCUCUCACGGCGAAAACUAGGGUUCGAUUCCCUAUGGUGGUGCCA